Molecule: long non-coding RNA, 1453 nt
Organism: Papaver somniferum (opium poppy)
Lineage: Eukaryota; Viridiplantae; Streptophyta; Magnoliopsida; Ranunculales; Papaveraceae
Exons: 8
Source: RefSeq, a predicted model, not a curated record
CUCCAAAUUUUCAUUUUUUUUCCUUCUUUUUUUCCCUUUCUUUCUUCUUCUUCUUCCUCUCGAUUUCUUCUGAGAACAACGAUCUUUAUCAACCAGAGAUGAAUUAGAGGCUUCGAGAUUGAAAUAAGAGGAGAUCGAUCCUGCAUUAAGUAACGGUAGCGGUGUUGUUCUCAAUAGCUGUAUCUGACUCAAGGAAACAAGAUAAUUCAGAGAGAAGGAAAUCGACAUUGGGGGAAAUUAAAAUUAUUGCACCCAUCCUAAUUUUAAUAUCAAAUUCAAUAUGGGUUUCAACUUCAAUUGUUAUUAUUACAUCUUGGGUAUUGAACCAAGAGUCUAUGGUAAUGGAGUUUACACAGGGUUGAGGAGUUCAGGAAAUUGGCGAGAUCAUGUCGAGAUGGAAAAGCACUUGCAUGUCAGGUGACAAUUACAAAACUCUGACCAUGGCAGCUGUGGUGAGGACGAGCGUCCAUUAAAUGAGUUACUCAUCUUGCAGCUCGGAUCCGAGCACCCUAACCGCCGUUACAACAUUUCUUUAUGUAAGAUUUUUGGUAGUCAUUGGAACCAUGAGAAAAGAAAGGUUUCCACAAGGAGCAGAGACUGAAUUGGGUCUAUGUGAAUAAAGAAGAGCAACAUAAGAGAGCUAGUGAAACAGAACCAAAGCAAGCUGUGUUGCGCAACUCAGAAACGGAAAACAAGUGAUUCUAAGCCAUGCGAAGUGGAAUCCGAACAAGAAGAACACUCGCUUUCAUUGUCGCAGAAUUCAUCUCCUUCCCAAUCUGACCAAGAGCAGACACCGAUUAAAGCAACACCUCGUCCAUUAUUUUUGUUGAAGCAACGUUUUCAGAAUCCAAAUGUAAACAAUGUCGUAGAGACUCAACCCGAUCAGAUUAGUAGCACUCGAAGUAGCCCACAAGAUUUUCAUUUUGUGUCUGGAGAAAAUCCUAGACACCCCCAAAGCAGGAACAGUUUCUACAUAUGAACGUAGGCUGGCCAGAAGGACAAUUUUCCAUGGAUCGCAAACCAAUUGAAGCUAUGCCAGUGCAUUCCUUGGUUGGAGCUGAUGUUUGAGGUAAUGUGGAUGGAGCAUUCGAUUCAGGAUUCCUAAUGACUGCAAAUGUUAAUGGCAAGAUCCUUAGAGGAAUCUUAUUUGCUCCUAGAAACGGGUUUGUACCAAGCGAGUGCCGUUCUUCCUCCAAGUUCACCAGCUUUAGGUAAUUUAGUUUUGCGUCAAUUUUUCCGGUCGGCCGUCCCACCGUGGCAGCGGUCAUCUAGUAAUAUUAUUGUCAUGAACUCCAGUAGCUAAGCAUCUUCAUUAGGGACGAUUUCGAUGUCCGAACAUGAUUCAUAAUUGAUAUUUAAAGUGUCUGUUUUCUUGUAAAUCAUCUUGUUAUUGUUCAUUCUUUACCAUGCUAAUAUUGUUUAUGUGAAUUAUCUAUGAAUCGUUUAAGUCGCG